Molecule: long non-coding RNA, 278 nt
Filed under: Pogona vitticeps (central bearded dragon)
Lineage: Eukaryota; Metazoa; Chordata; Lepidosauria; Squamata; Agamidae
Description: lncRNA (ENSPVIG00000014684.1)
Source: RNAcentral
CACUGCCAUCUUCUUAGCUGGGUGAGGUGGAACCUGGGUGUUGACGAGAAGGAACAAAGUUAAGAGGCUACAUCAGCUAAAAUGUCUGACAGCUUACUAAACGGGUUGUCUUACGAUGUCUGUGAACCAAUUAGAGAGCGUGUAGCUGAUGCAUGGCCUGCCCUUUGGCCAAUGAACGAGAGAACCAAUUACAUGGAGAUACAUUUGUGUAUCACCAGCCUUUCAAGAUACAGGUGCGUGGCCAAGCAAUUAAUGGAAGUGCAAGAUUAAUCUAACUG